Molecule: long non-coding RNA, 432 nt
Organism: Sinocyclocheilus rhinocerous
Lineage: Eukaryota; Metazoa; Chordata; Actinopteri; Cypriniformes; Cyprinidae
Exons: 3
Source: RefSeq, a predicted model, not a curated record
AAUUUCAAAACUUGAACAGACAAUAAUGUAUUCGAUUGAACUGGAGUUAGGAAUAUGUUCAUUGUAUGUAUUAAUGAAGUCCCUGUGAGCAGGCAACGGCUCGAGCUGCAGGCCUGUGGAAUUUGUUUCUUCCGGCUGAGAGUGGCCUCUCUCAGCUGGAUUAUGCUCAUAUCGCAGAGGAGACCGGACGCUGCUUCUACGCCCCCGAAGUCUUUAACUGCCAGGCCCCAGACACUGGCAAUAUGGAAGUUCUGCACCUGUUUGGCACUGAGGAACAGAAGAGACUCUGGCUGGAGCCCUUACUAAGAUGAGACAUACGGUCCUGCUUCUGUAUGACAGAGCCGGAUGUUGCUUCAAGUGACGCCACAAACAUGGAGUGCACCCUUCACUGGGACAAAGACCAUUUUAUCAUUAAUGGCAAAAAGUGAUGGA